GUGAGGAAUUUUCCGCAAUGGGCGAAAGCCUGACGGAGCAAUGCCGCGUGAAGGAUGAAGGCCUAUGGGUUGUAAACUUCUUUUCUCAGAAAAGAAUUAUGACGGUAUCUGAGGAAUAAGCAUCGGCUAACUCUGUGCCAGCAGCCGCGGUAAGACAGAGGAUGCAAGCGUUAUCCGGAAUGAUUGGGCGUAAAGCGUCUGUAGGUUGUUUAAACAGUAUUCUGUCAAAGAUUAGGGCUUAACCAUAGAGAGGCAGAAUAAACUUUUAAGCUAGAGUUUGGUAGAGGCAGAGGGAAUUCCCGGUGGAGCGGUGAAAUGCGUAGAUAUCGGGAGGAACACCAAAGGCGAAGGCACUCUGCUGGGCCAAUACUAACACUGAGAGACGAAAGCGAGGGGAGCAAAUGGGAUUAGAAACCCUGGUAGUCC
Molecule: ribosomal RNA, 426 nt
Filed under: uncultured bacterium
Lineage: Bacteria
Description: bacterial SSU rRNA
Rfam family: Bacterial small subunit ribosomal RNA
Source: RNAcentral